AUGGUGGUGCUGCACGUGAAAUCGUCGACCUCCUCCUCGUCCUCGUCCCCGUCCCCGCCCCCGCCGGAGGUAGAGGAGGAGAUUGAGUUCCUGUACGAGUGCGCCGCCACCGCCGCCGUCGCGGACGUGGCGGCCGCGCUCGCGGGCACCGCCGGCCUCCAGGCCCGCGUCCUCUCCCUCUGCCGCCGCCUCCGAGGCGAGUGA
Molecule: ribosomal RNA, 204 nt
Filed under: Triticum aestivum (bread wheat)
Lineage: Eukaryota; Viridiplantae; Streptophyta; Magnoliopsida; Poales; Poaceae
Description: partial small subunit ribosomal RNA
Source: RNAcentral